Molecule: ribosomal RNA, 475 nt
Filed under: Neisseria sicca
Lineage: Bacteria; Pseudomonadati; Pseudomonadota; Betaproteobacteria; Neisseriales; Neisseriaceae
Description: bacterial SSU rRNA
Rfam family: Bacterial small subunit ribosomal RNA
Source: RNAcentral
AUUGAACGCUGGCGGCAUGCUUUACACAUGCAAGUCGGACGGCAGCACAGAGAAGCUUGCUUCUUGGGUGGCGAGUGGCGAACGGGUGAGUAACAUAUCGGAACGUACCGAGCAGUGGGGGAUAACUAAUCGAAAGAUUAGCUAAUACCGCAUAUCUUCUGAGGAAGAAAGCAGGGGACCAUUUGGCCUUGCGCUGUUUGAGCGGCCGAUAUCUGAUUAGCUAGUUGGUGGGGUAAAGGCCUACCAAGGCGACGAUCAGUAGCGGGUCUGAGAGGAUGAUCCGCCACACUGGGACUGAGACACGGCCCAGACUCCUACGGGAGGCAGCAGUGGGGAAUUUUGGACAAUGGGCGCAAGCCUGAUCCAGCCAUGCCGCGUGUCUGAAGAAGGCCUUCGGGUUGUAAAGGACUUUUGUCAGGGAAGAAAAGGGCGGGGUUAAUACCCCUGUCUGAUGACGGUACCUGAAGAUAAGCCC